RNAcentral lists this ribosomal RNA (447 nucleotides) under uncultured bacterium. RNAcentral describes it as "partial 16S ribosomal RNA". It matches the Rfam family "Bacterial small subunit ribosomal RNA", at positions 29 to 523 of the family's 1533-position model. The record is from RNAcentral.
AACGAACGCUGGCGGCAGGCUUAACACAUGCAAGUCGAGCGCCCCGCAAGGGGAGCGGCAGACGGGUGAGUAACACGUGGGAACAUACCCAUCUCUGCGGAACAACUCCGGGAAACUGGAGCUAAUACCGCAUACGCCCUUCGGGGGAAAGAUUUAUCGGAGAUGGAUUGGCCCGCGUUGGAUUAACUAGUUGGUGGGGUAAAGGCCUACCAAGGCGACGAUCCAUAGCUGGUCUGAGAGGAUGAUCAGCCACAUUGGGACUGAGACACGGCCCAAACUCCUACGGGAGGCAGCAGUGGGGAAUAUUGGACAAUGGGCGCAAGCCUGAUCCAGCCAUGCCGCGUGAGUGAUGAAGGCCUUAGGGUUGUAAAGCUCUUUCACCGAUGAAGACAAUGACGGUAGUCGGAGAAGAAGCCCCGGCUAACUUCGUGCCAGCAGCCGCAGUAA